Molecule: long non-coding RNA, 312 nt
Filed under: Theobroma cacao (cacao)
Lineage: Eukaryota; Viridiplantae; Streptophyta; Magnoliopsida; Malvales; Malvaceae
Description: long non-coding RNA (TCAC_LNC000068)
Source: RNAcentral
AGCAACAAUGAAAAUGCUGAUCAGAAUGUGAACAAUGUCGCUGAGAGGAAUGCCAACAAUGAAAAUGCAGGUCAGAGUGAGAACAAUGCUGCUCAGAGCAAUACCAACAACGAAAAUGCAGGUCAGAAUGAGAACAAUGCUGCUCAGAGAAACAAUGAAAAUGCACGUCAGAAUGAGAACAAUGAUGCUGUUCAGAGCAACACCAACAACAAUGAAAACACAAAUUACAAUGAGAACAAUGCUGCCCAGACCUACAAUAAUGAAAAUUCAGGGCAGAAUGAGAACAAUGCUUCUCAGAGCUACAGCGACAAC